UCUGGAUGAGUCCGCGUCCCAUUAGCUUGUUGGUGGGGUAAUGGCCUACCAAGGCUACGAUGGGUAGCUGGUCUGAGAGGAUGAUCAGCCACACUGGAACUGAAACNCGGUCCAGACUCCUACGGGAGGCAGCAGUGGGGAAUAUUGCGCAAUGGGGGAAACCCUGACGCAGCGACGCCGUGUGAGGGAUGAAGGCUUUCGGGUCGUAAACCUCUGUCGGGAGGGAAGAACCUUCCAGGUCUGAAUAAGGCUUGGAACUGACGGUACCUCCAAAGGAAGCACCGGCUAACUCCGUGCCAGCAGCCGCGGUAAUACGGAGGGUGCAAGCGUUAAUCGGAAUCACUGGGCGUAAAGCGCGCGUAGGCGGUCUUUUAAGUCGGACGUGAAAGCCCUCGGCUCAACCGGGGAACUGCGUUCGAAACUGGGAGACUUGAGUCCUGGAGAGGGUGGCGGAAUUCCGGGUGUAGGAGUGAAAUCCGUAGAUAUCCGGAGGAACACCGGUGGCGAAGGCGGCCACC
This 518-nucleotide ribosomal RNA is filed under the name uncultured bacterium. Its description in RNAcentral is "bacterial SSU rRNA". It matches the Rfam family "Bacterial small subunit ribosomal RNA", at positions 220 to 729 of the family's 1533-position model. The record is from RNAcentral.